CCCUUAGCCUUCCAAGCUAACGAUGCGGGUUC
This 32-nucleotide transfer RNA is filed under the name Physaria crassistigma. RNAcentral's name for it is "partial tRNA-Gly". Lineage: Eukaryota; Viridiplantae; Streptophyta; Magnoliopsida; Brassicales; Brassicaceae. RNAcentral also lists the same sequence under 1 other name. The record is from RNAcentral.